AUCCAGCUGACGAGUCCCAAAUAGGACGAAACGCGCGUUCUGAAU
Non-coding RNA from Schistosoma mattheei, 45 nucleotides. The record is from Rfam. Lineage: Eukaryota; Metazoa; Platyhelminthes; Trematoda; Strigeidida; Schistosomatidae.